This 119-nucleotide ribosomal RNA is filed under the name Trichobilharzia regenti. Lineage: Eukaryota; Metazoa; Platyhelminthes; Trematoda; Strigeidida; Schistosomatidae. The record is from RNAcentral.
GACGGCGAUCAUACCACGUUGAAAACACUGAUUUUCGUUGGAUCACCGAAGUUAAGCAACGUUGGGUUUGAUCAGUACUUGUAUGGGUGACCGGCUGGGAAUACCCGGUGUUACCCGCU